AUCCUCCACCCUGAAGGAAACAUGCUACUACAACAGCCAAUCUCCUUUCACCUCAGAGCUUCACCCAGGAGACACUCAUAUCACAUCCUCAUCAUCAUCGUCUUCCUCAGCAUAUUCAUCAUCUUCAUCAUCAUCAUGAUAUUUUUCUUCAUCAUGAUGUUCAGAGUUCUGAUUCACCUGGCAGCUCUACCACUCUGGGUGACAGGGCAGGUGUUUAGUAGCAUGGUUCAUCAGAGGCCUGUGGCACUAACAGAAGGUCCUGGAGGAGACGUUCAACUCACCUGCAGCCAUACGAUCUCUAACUACUACGUGAUACUAUGGUACAAACAGUCAGCAGGAGACACUGCUAUGAAACUCAUUGGUUAUGCAUAUACCAAGUUAAUAACCAUGGAGAAAUCAUUUGAAAAGCACUUCAAUGUGAGUGGAGAUGGUGGGAAAGAGGCUUAUCUUCAUCUAUUGAGUCUGAGAGGACCUGAACACUGUGCAGUUUAUUACUGUGCAGCCAGCCAACACAGUGAUGUAGACUUCCUCCUGUUCUCUACUAAAACCCUGUCUGAUGGUAAUAUUAGACCACGGCUCAGAACACCUGCAUCUGAGGUUUGACUUUGACUCAAUGCCAAUGAAUAAACACAGAUGGAUGAUGGCAUAAGGUGAUAUCUGUCCUAGUACAGUAUACCAGUAUUUACAGUUUACUGUCACCACUCAUUAACAUACAUUAUGCAAUGUUACAAUGUCAUAUUCCAUUACUCCAUUUCUAUCUCUCCCCUCUCUCUCUCUCUCUCUCUCUCUCUCUCUCUCUCUCUCUCUCUCUCUCUCUAUCUCUCCCCUCUCUCUCUCUCUAUCUCUCCCCUCUCUCUCUAUCUCUCCCCUCUCGCUCAAUUCAAUUCAAU
RNAcentral lists this long non-coding RNA (890 nucleotides) under Oncorhynchus kisutch (coho salmon). Its description in RNAcentral is "lncRNA (ENSOKIG00005024081.1)". The record is from RNAcentral. Lineage: Eukaryota; Metazoa; Chordata; Actinopteri; Salmoniformes; Salmonidae.